RNAcentral lists this non-coding RNA (24 nucleotides) under Arabidopsis thaliana (thale cress). Lineage: Eukaryota; Viridiplantae; Streptophyta; Magnoliopsida; Brassicales; Brassicaceae. The record is from RNAcentral.
UACACGUAGCAAGACCUAAACAGU